RNAcentral lists this long non-coding RNA (450 nucleotides) under Homo sapiens (human). RNAcentral describes it as "HSALNT0160587". The record is from RNAcentral. Lineage: Eukaryota; Metazoa; Chordata; Mammalia; Primates; Hominidae.
AAGCUUUGUUUUUUCGCUCUUUGCAAUGAAUCUUGCUACUGCUCACUCUUUGGGUCCACGCUGCUUUUAUGAGCUGUAACACUCACCACGAAGAUCUGCAGCUUCACUCCUGAGCCCAGCAAGACCCCGAGCCCACCAGGAGGAACGAACAACGCCAGACGCGCUACCUUAAGAGGUGUAACACUCACCGCGAAGGUCUGCAGCUUCACUCCUGAGCCAGAGAGACCACGAACCCACCAGAAGGAAGAAACUCCCAACACAUCUGAACAUCAGAAGGGACAGACUCCAGACGCGCCACCUUAAGAGCUGUAACACUCACUGUGAGGGUCUGCGGCUUCAUUCUUCAAGUCAGUGAGACCAAGAACCCACCAAUUCCGGACACACUACUGUUGCAGAAGUGUGUCCUUGUCAAGCAUUUACAGACAAGAGUGGAGAAAAAUGGAAACUCAU